UGCGUAGGCGGCUUAGCAAGUCAGAUGUGAAAGCCCGGGGCUCAACCCCGGGACUGCAUUUGAAACUGUUAAGCUAGAGUACAGGAGAGGAAAGUGGAAUUCCUAGUGUAGCGGUGAAAUGCGUAGAUAUUAGGAGGAACACCAGUGGCGAAGGCGACUUUCUGGACUGUAACUGACGCUGAGGCACGAAAGCGUGGGGAGCGAACA
RNAcentral lists this ribosomal RNA (207 nucleotides) under uncultured bacterium. RNAcentral's name for it is "partial 16S ribosomal RNA". It matches the Rfam family "Bacterial small subunit ribosomal RNA", at positions 568 to 774 of the family's 1533-position model. The record is from RNAcentral.